This 983-nucleotide long non-coding RNA is filed under the name Pectinophora gossypiella (pink bollworm). RNAcentral's name for it is "uncharacterized LOC126369460". Lineage: Eukaryota; Metazoa; Arthropoda; Insecta; Lepidoptera; Gelechiidae. The record is from RNAcentral.
GAAUUUAGAAACUAUAAACCGGCUCUCUUCUAGCUUACGACACAAACUAUGAGUGAGAAAAGGACAAAUGAUUCGCUCUUUGCUUCAUUUUUUCCGAGGUUGUCACAACAUGAAAUGUCAUUUGGACCUAUUGGACUCAUUUUAACUCGGCCAAAUACAUAGUAACAUACAUAAGAAGAUUUUACUUAUAUUUACCGAACUAUUUGACACGGUCGCGUGAACUUUGUUUACGAGUAUCUUGUGUUCAGAUUGUUUUAAGUGAUAAUUUAACAAUAUUUUUCCAAAUAAAUGGACAGAAACUUUUAUUUAUAUCAAAUAAUUGAGUGUCUCGACUCUGUGACAUUAUGUCUUGUGUGGUAUGGGGCUGCAGCUCACAUUCAGGAAGAAAAGAAAAUAGCCAACAACUUCUGUCGUUUCAUCGAUUUCCUGUAGACGAUAACAAAGAUAAAGAAUGGAUAAUUCACAUUAAUAGACGAAAUUGGAUUCCAAAUAAGUACAGCCGUAUUUGCUCGAAACAUUUUACUGCGGAUUCAUUUAUGUGUGUUCCUAAUUCGAAGUGGAGACGUCUUCGAGACGAUGCUAUUCCUACAUUGAACAUUAUAGAUAAGACAGAUGAAAUGGUAAUUACGGCCGAGCACCACACACCCGAAGUCUCGACGGCAAAAGGGACAAAAUUGUGGGUCCGCGUUAAAUUCCCAUAUUUCGCCAGUUUUUGGCUAGCGGCCCACUCGGCAGCCGGCCCUGCGGUUCGAGUAGUACGGGGCAGGUGCGUUGCUGCAAACCUGCAAGCGCAGGUCGCGUCCCACAAUAAAGCACGCUCCCUCUCCUAGGGUAUGAGCGUGAGCCCAUCGGGCCUCUUACCGUCUGUGCGGCUUAGACCCGGCGGUUCCAAUUUGCACGGCACGUCGAUCAACACCAGUGCACGGCGGAUGACAUCAUAAAUAAAUUCGAAUAUUACAAAAUACUUACCGAUGAAACGAUAA